CCAAUAGCGUAUAUUAAAGUUGUUGCAGUUAAAAAGCUCGUAGUUGAAUUUCGGGAUUGACGUAAUGGUCAUGCCUUAAGGGGUAUGAACUGUUACUGUUGAUUUCUCACCUUCUGGAGAAACUUGAUGUCCUUUAUUGGGUGUCUUGCGGAUCCAGGACCUUUACCUUGAAAAAAUUAGAGUGUUUAAAGCAGGCAUUUUUGCUCGAAUACAUUAGCAUGGAAUAAUAGAAUAGGACGGCAUGGUUCUAUUUUGUUGGUUUCUAGGAUCACCGUAAUGAUUAAUAGGGAUAGUUGGGGG
RNAcentral lists this ribosomal RNA (300 nucleotides) under Entrophospora sp. RNAcentral's name for it is "SSU rRNA". It matches the Rfam family "Eukaryotic small subunit ribosomal RNA", at positions 591 to 888 of the family's 1831-position model. The record is from RNAcentral. Lineage: Eukaryota; Fungi; Glomeromycota; Glomeromycetes; Entrophosporales; Entrophosporaceae.